UCGAACGGCAGCACGGGAGCUUGCUCCUGGUGGCGAGUGGCGAACGGGUGAGUAAUACAUCGGAACGUACCCAGUAGUGGGGGAUAACGCACCGAAAGGUGCGCUAAUACCGCAUACGACCUAAGGGUGAAAGCGGGGGACCGUAAGGCCUCGCGCUAUUGGAGCGGCCGAUGUCUGAUUAGCUAGUUGGUGAGGUAAAGGCUCACCAAGGCUUCGAUCAGUAGCUGGUCUGAGAGGACGAUCAGCCACACUGGGACUGAGACACGGCCCAGACUCCUACGGGAGGCAGCAGUGGGGAAUUUUGGACAAUGGGCGAAAGCCUGAUCCAGCAAUGCCGCGUGUGCGGAGAAGGCCUUCGGGUUGUAAAGCACUUUUGUCAGGGAAGAAAUCUUUUAGGCUAAUACCUUGGAAGGAUGACGGUACCUGAAGAAUAAGCACCGGCUAACUACGUGCCAGCAGCCGCGGUAAUACGUAGGGUGCAAGCGUUAAUCGGAAUUACUGGGCGUAAAGCGUGCGCAGGCGGUUUGUUAAGACAGUCGUGAGAUCCCCGGGCUUAACCUGGGAACUGCGAUUGUGACUGGCAAGCUAGAGUACGGCAGAGGGGGGUGGAAUUCCUGGUGUAGCAGUGAAAUGCGUAGAGAUCAGGAGGAACACCGAUGGCGAAGGCAGCCCCCUGGGCUAGUACUGACGCUCAUGCACGAAAGCGUGGGGAGCAAACAGAUUAGAUACCCUGGUAGUCCACGCCCUAAACGAUGCCAAUUAGUUGUUGGUUCUUUAUUGAAUCAGUAACGAAGCUAACGCGUGAAAUUGACCGCCUGGGGAGUACGGUCGCAAGAUUAAAACUCAAAGGAAUUGACGGGGACCCGCACAAGCGGNGGAUGAUGUGGAUUAAUUCGAUGCAACGCGAAAAACCUUACCUACCCUUGACAUGUUCGGAAUUCUGCANANAUGCGNAAGUGCUCGAAAGANNA
RNAcentral lists this ribosomal RNA (971 nucleotides) under uncultured bacterium. RNAcentral describes it as "bacterial SSU rRNA". It matches the Rfam family "Bacterial small subunit ribosomal RNA", at positions 62 to 1028 of the family's 1533-position model. The record is from RNAcentral.